Heterocephalus glaber (naked mole-rat) is the source of this 1189-nucleotide non-coding RNA. Lineage: Eukaryota; Metazoa; Chordata; Mammalia; Rodentia; Bathyergidae. The record is from RefSeq and is a predicted model, not a curated record.
CACCUAACAUUUCUCUUCUGAGCUUUCUCGGUCCCCUCAGAAUCUCUCUCCUCCGACUCUGCAUGGUCAGAAUCUCGCCCAUUACUUACAACCUUGUGCAGGACAUGGCUUCCUCCACCAUCAUCCCAUGGACACGAGAGAAACCAGUCCUGGACUUGUUGUGGCAGAAACCCAGUACCCACAUCUGACUCUACAUGGACACCGACAUGCUCACUUUCUCAGGACUACUGAGAAAAUGCUGUGCCACCUGACACCUGCAAAUUGAAGAAUUAUAACUGUGGCAUGAAGUUCUAAGCAUCCCAACUUUUAAAUAUAGACACCCACCAGCAAGGGGAGCCAGCUGUCUCUGCAGAGCGUGCUCAGAACGUUUAACCAGCCUGCAGCCUGACACCAGGCAGCAAAGCCUGAAUCUACACCCACAUCACCUCCAAAGCCUGCAUUCCUAGCCACUGCAUCCUUCCAGUUACCCAAGAAAACAUCUGGGUCAUGUUCUAGGAAAAACAUUUCUAUUAAAAUGGAGAUGAAUGUUCUUCAAGUGGUGUAUUUCUGUAGUGGUGGGAUAAUAUAUAAACUCCACAAGCAAAAUGGUACCAAGGCUAGCAAAGUGCAUGAUAAGAAUGAUUUCUGACCCUGGGCAAGAGGCAGCCUUAGCCAUCUCCCUCUGUGAACUCAGUGCUGGAGAUACCAGAGGGGAGAAAAGGAGAAUCCUGACUUGAAAAAGCUCCAUUGGCAAUGAACACCAAAUGCCAGACACUUUUGCAGGCCAGGAAGGGGGCUGAGUCCUGGAGGGAGGUGAUGGCCACCUAUGGAGCCAUGGCAGGGAGGGGCAGCCUACCAUCACAGCCCUGAAUUGAGUGAUCCUGGCCACAGUCCUGGACCCUGGAUCUGUGCUAAGUGCUAGGGGGCAGCACAGGGAGCCAGGCAGUGCCCACACCGGGUGGCACACCAGCCAUGCACAAUAAGCAUGGGGGGGGGGCCAGGGCAGCAGCCUUUUGCUCCAGCCUAUUGCAAUAGAGAUAUCUGCAAAACACCCAGGAGGAAGAGGAUACUUGGAGGGGUGGGAGGGGUAAAACAAGAUUUUAGUGCUACAGCCUCCCAACCCCACGCUGAGACUCAGCCCUUUGCCCCUCAAACACAUCAGAAGCUGGAACUGGGGGUCUACACUUUUCUCACAGCCCCAUGGUGGAUA